AUUGAACGCUGGCGGCAGGCCUAACACAUGCAAGUCGAGCGGAUGAGAGGAGCUUGCUCCUUGAUUCAGCGGCGGACGGGUGAGUAAUGCCUAGGAAUCUGCCUGGUAGUGGGGGAUAACGUUCCGAAAGGAACGCAAAUACCGCAUACGUCCUACGGGAGAAAGCAGGGGACCUUCGGGCCUUGCGCUAUCAGAUGAGCCUAGGUCGGAUUAGCUAGUUGGUGAGGUAAUGGCUCACCAAGGCGACGAUCCGUAAAUGGUCUGAGAGGAUGAUCAGUCACACUGGAACUGAGACAUGGUCCAGACUCCUACGGGAGGCAGCAGUGGGGAAUAUUGGACAAUGGGCGAAAGCCUGAUCCAGCCAUGCCGCGUGUGUGAAGAAGGUCUUCGGAUUGUAAAGCACUUUAAGUUGGGAGGAAGGGCAGUAAGUUAAUACCUUGCUGUUUUGACGUUACCAACAGAAUAAGCACCGGCUAACUUCGUGCCAGCAGCCGCCGUAA
This 500-nucleotide ribosomal RNA is filed under the name uncultured bacterium. RNAcentral describes it as "partial 16S ribosomal RNA". It matches the Rfam family "Bacterial small subunit ribosomal RNA", at positions 30 to 523 of the family's 1533-position model. The record is from RNAcentral.